CAGUAGCCGCGGGAAUACGAAGGGGGCUAGCGUUGUUCGGAUUUACUGGGCGUAAAGGGUGCGUAGGCGGAUUGUUAAGUCAGGGGUGAAAUCCCGAGGCUCAACCUUGGAACUGCCUUUGAUACUGUUUGUCUUGAGUUCGAGAGAGGUAAGUGGAACUGCGAGUGUAGAGGUGAAAUUCGUAGAUAUUCGCAAGAACACCAGUGGCGAGGGCGGCUUACUGGCUCGAAACUGACGCUGAGGCGCGAAAGCGUGGGGAGCAAACAGGAUUAGAUACCCGGGUAGUCCCUGUCUCUUAUAC
RNAcentral lists this ribosomal RNA (301 nucleotides) under uncultured bacterium. RNAcentral describes it as "partial 16S ribosomal RNA". It matches the Rfam family "Bacterial small subunit ribosomal RNA", at positions 509 to 807 of the family's 1533-position model. The record is from RNAcentral.